Molecule: ribosomal RNA, 463 nt
Filed under: uncultured bacterium
Lineage: Bacteria
Description: bacterial SSU rRNA
Rfam family: Bacterial small subunit ribosomal RNA
Source: RNAcentral
AACGAACGCUGGCGGCAUGCCUAACACAUGCAAGUCGAACGAGACCUUCGGGUCUAGUGGCGCACGGUGCGUAACGCGUGGGAAUCUGCCCUUGGGUUCGGAAUAACAGUUAGAAAUGACUGCUAAUACCGGAUAAUGUCUUCGGACCAAAGAUUUAUCGCCCAGGGAUGAGCCCGCGUAGGAUUAGCUAGUUGGUGAGGUAAAGGCUCACCAAGGCGACGAUCCUUAGCUGGUCUGAGAGGAUGAUCAGCCACACUGGGACUGAGACACGGCCCAGACUCCUACGGGAGGCAGCAGUGGGGAAUAUUGCGCAAUGGACGAAAGUCUGACGCAGCGACGCCGCGUGGGGGGAUGAAGGUCUUCGGAUUGUAAACCCCUUUCGGGAGGGAAGAUGGAGUGGUAACCACUUGGACGGUACCUCCAGAAGCAGCACGGCUAACUUCGUGCCAGCAGCCGCGGUAAU